CCUACGGGAGACAGCAGUGAGGAAUAUUGGUCAAUGGCCGAGAGGCUGAACCAGCCAAGUCGCGUGAGGGAAGACGGCCCUACGGGUUGUAAACCUCUUUUGUCGGGGAGCAAAGCGAGUCACGUGUGACUCAUUGAGAGUACCCGAAGAAAAAGCAUCGGCUAACUCCGUGCCAGCAGCCGCGGUAAUACGGAGGAUGCGAGCGUUAUCCGGAUUUAUUGGGUUUAAAGGGUGCGCAGGCGGAGGUGCAAGUCAGCGGUCAAAUUGCGGGGCUCAACCCCGUACUGCCGUUGAAACUGCAGCCCUUGAGUGCGCGAGAAGUAUGCGGAAUGCGUGGUGUAGCGGUGAAAUGCAUAGAUAUCACGCAGAACUCCGAUUGCGAAGGCAGCAUACCGGCGCGCAACUGACGCUCAUGCACGAAAGCGUGGGUAUCGAACAGGAUUAGAUACCCCAGUAGUC
This 459-nucleotide ribosomal RNA is filed under the name uncultured bacterium. RNAcentral's name for it is "partial 16S ribosomal RNA". It matches the Rfam family "Bacterial small subunit ribosomal RNA", at positions 338 to 795 of the family's 1533-position model. The record is from RNAcentral.